This 76-nucleotide transfer RNA is filed under the name Piscirickettsiaceae bacterium. RNAcentral describes it as "tRNA-Asn". It matches the Rfam family "tRNA". Rfam says of the family: Transfer RNA (tRNA) molecules are approximately 80 nucleotides in length. Their secondary structure includes four short double-helical elements and three loops (D, anti-codon, and T loops). Further hydrogen bonds mediate the characteristic L-shaped molecular structure. tRNAs have two regions of fundamental functional importance: the anti-codon, which is responsible for specific mRNA codon recognition, and the 3' end, to which the tRNAs corresponding amino acid is attached (by aminoacyl-tRNA synthetases). tRNAs cope with the degeneracy of the genetic code in two manners: having more than one tRNA (with a specific anti-codon) for a particular amino acid; and 'wobble' base-pairing, i.e. permitting non-standard base-pairing at the 3rd anti-codon position. Lineage: Bacteria; Pseudomonadati; Pseudomonadota; Gammaproteobacteria; Thiotrichales; Piscirickettsiaceae. The record is from RNAcentral.
UCCUCGAUAGCUCAGUUGGUAGAGCAAUUGACUGUUAAUCAAUGGGUCCCAGGUUCGAGUCCUGGUCGAGGAGCCA